RNAcentral lists this ribosomal RNA (460 nucleotides) under uncultured bacterium. RNAcentral's name for it is "partial 16S ribosomal RNA". It matches the Rfam family "Bacterial small subunit ribosomal RNA", at positions 338 to 795 of the family's 1533-position model. The record is from RNAcentral.
CCUACGGGCGGCAUCAGUGAGGAAUAUUGGUCAAUGGGCGUAAGCCUGAACCAGCCAAGUCGCGUGAGGGAUGAAGGUUCUAUGGAUCGUAAACCUCUUUUAUAAGGGAAUAAAGUGCGGGACGUGUCCCGUUUUGUAUGUACCUUAUGAAUAAGGAUCGGCUAACUCCGUGCCAGCAGCCGCGGUAAUACGGAGGAUCCGAGCGUUAUCCGGAUUUAUUGGGUUUAAAGGGUGCGUAGGCGGCCUUUUAAGUCAGCGGUGAAAGUCUGUGGCUCAACCAUAGAAUUGCCGUUGAAACUGGGAGGCUUGAGUAUGUUUGAGGCAGGCGGAAUGUGCGGUGUAGCGGUGAAAUGCAUAGAUAUCGCGCAGAACUCCGAUUGCGAAGGCAGCAUGCCGGCUCCACACUGACGCUGAGGCACGAAAGCGUGGGUAUCGAACAGGAUUAGAUACCCCUGUAGUC